UGCAAGUCGAACGGCAGAGAAGGGGCAACCCUGGUGUUCAGUGGCGAACGGGUGAGUAAUACAUCGGAACGUGUCCUGUAUGGGGGGAUAGGCCGAUCACGCCCGGAUUAAUACCGGAUACGCUCUACUGAGGAUAGGGGAGAUCUUUUGACCUCCCCCUUUUGGGGGGGGCAAUGGCAAAUAGCUAGUUGCGGGGGUA
RNAcentral lists this ribosomal RNA (199 nucleotides) under Paraburkholderia phenazinium. Its description in RNAcentral is "partial 16S ribosomal RNA". The record is from RNAcentral. Lineage: Bacteria; Pseudomonadati; Pseudomonadota; Betaproteobacteria; Burkholderiales; Burkholderiaceae.